Molecule: ribosomal RNA, 253 nt
Filed under: uncultured bacterium
Lineage: Bacteria
Description: partial 16S ribosomal RNA
Rfam family: Bacterial small subunit ribosomal RNA
Source: RNAcentral
UACGAAGGUGGCAAGCGUUGUUCGGAAUCACUGGGCGUAAAGCGUACGCAGGCUGUCUGUUAAGUCGGGGGUGAAAUCCCGGGGCUCAACCCCGGAACUGCCUUCGAUACUGGCAGGCUAGAGUCCGUGAGAGGAGUGUGGAAUUCCUAGUGUAGAGGUGAAAUUCGUAGAUAUUAGGAGGAACACCAGUGGCGAAGGCGACACUCUGGCGCGGUACUGACGCUCAUGUACUAAAGUGUGGGGAGCAAACAGG